GAUGAAUUCUUGUCCUGUCAAUUGACUUGUCAAUUCUUGAUAAAAGAGUUGUUAUUAAAGCGCUCCUCCUGAGCUCCUUAACCUAGAGCAAGCUGUGAUCAGCUGUAAUUGACUAAACAUUCGGCGGCUGAGAAUUUGGCAAAGUAUACAAUGAAUGAAGUCAUUGUUUUAUUCGACGGCUAUUCUAAACAAUUAGAUGAUGAAACUAUGGACGCUAAUUGUUCCUGCACUCUGAUAAAAGGUCAAAAAAAUAUUAUAGUUGAUACGAUGACAGCUUGGGACCGUGAGAGACUAGUUGAAGCUCUUCAUAAACAAAAUUUAGAUCCUCUGGAUAUUCAUUAUGUUGUGUGUACACAUAGUCAUUCUGAUCACAUUGGAAAUAACAAUCUAUUUAUUAACGCAGAACACAUUGUGGGUCAAUGCGUUCAGAGUGGAACAAAAUUUUAUGAGAAACGAAUAAAAGAUGGGAAGUACAAGCUCUGUGAGGGUGUAACAGUGAUAGCAACACCAGGUCACACUGCACAGGAUGUCAGUGUCCUAGUGGAUGUAGAAACCAAGGAUGGCAAACUUGUUUAUACAAUUACAGGAGGAGGAUAUCGAAGAUCCCUCAAUUUGGAAAGCACUUGGUACCAUCGAACUACAGGAAGUACAAAAAGCAAUGCGUAGCCAUGUCUUAGACCUAGCCAAUAUCAUCAUACCGGGUCACGGUCCAAUGUUUCCUGUUACAGAAGCAAUGAAACUACAAUCGAAGAGGGUGGAUUAACGAUAAGAGAAGUGGGGCAACUACAUCACUUGACGUGACACAAUCUUUCUCAACGUAUCCGAGACCAAGAAAAUAUUUCCGGCAGAGCUCAGUCAAAAAACUUACAAGGAAAAAAAUGAGAUUCAACACGGUGACCUCAAGGGGUUUACGGCACGAGUUAAAGCUAGUAAACUAUCAGUUCUUCAAGUUCUGAGCCAAUAACAGUCGAUAUUAUUUUUAUAUCAGUGAUUAAUUAUACAUAGAUAUAUAAUUAUAUAUGUAUAAUAAUUAUAAUUCACAUAAUACUUUUCCCUCCAAGAUUUUUCCACGUCAAAGGAUGCAACGGCCCUUUGUAAAAAAAAAUGAUCAUACAUUAAGCUUCGCUUUCUUUUGAAGCACUCUGAGCCAUGUGACUUUGACAAGGUCUCUAUAAUUCUAUCCCAUAGCAAAGGAAAAGAAAAGAACAUGGACCAAUCUCAUGUCGCUUGAACGCCUCUGAAGAAUUCUCAUGGGAUCACAAUUAAAAGAUAUCUAAAGAAUCC
Molecule: RNA transcript, 1284 nt
Organism: Cephus cinctus (wheat stem sawfly)
Lineage: Eukaryota; Metazoa; Arthropoda; Insecta; Hymenoptera; Cephidae
Gene name: metallo-beta-lactamase domain-containing protein 1
Exons: 5
Source: RefSeq, a predicted model, not a curated record